This 435-nucleotide long non-coding RNA is filed under the name Carica papaya (papaya). Its description in RNAcentral is "long non-coding RNA (CPAP_LNC013427)". Lineage: Eukaryota; Viridiplantae; Streptophyta; Magnoliopsida; Brassicales; Caricaceae. The record is from RNAcentral.
UUAGGACAAAAAAAGAGAACUUACCUCUAUAAUGCUUCCAGUCUAGCUCUUGCUUUCCUAUUUCAUUUCCUUAUGUUUUUCCUCCUCUUUCUCCCGAUUAUUUUCUAACUCUUCUUAUAUUUUUAGAUCACCUAAAAUUGAUCACAUCGUAACACAAUAACAAAUGUGAGGAUAAGAUUAUGAAGAAAUUAUAUUGUGGUGAAGAAAUUAAUAGAAAUAAUUUUAUAAAAAAACUAUCUUAUUGUUUUCUAUCUAAAUAUUGCAUCGUAAAUAUAAAUCAUAGCAUUAAAGAAAGAUUGAAAGAAAAGUCAAAAGCAUCAAGAAAGAAAAAAAACAUAAAAGCGUCAUAAUCUAUUUUUAAACUUAUGUAAUCAAAUAUUUUAGAGUUUUAACAUUAUUUUUCAUUCUAAAGUAUGUAAUCUUUAAAAGAAUUAU